GGCCUGAUGGUGUAGUGGUUACAUGUGCUCUUCAUUUGGACCUCCCUUGUGUCCGUGGUAAUAUUUGGAGGAAGUCCCCGGUUCGAAUCCGGGUCAGGCCC
Mycena crocata is the source of this 101-nucleotide non-coding RNA. Lineage: Eukaryota; Fungi; Basidiomycota; Agaricomycetes; Agaricales; Mycenaceae. The record is from the annotation of a GenBank genome assembly.